Molecule: long non-coding RNA, 1556 nt
Filed under: Citrus x clementina
Lineage: Eukaryota; Viridiplantae; Streptophyta; Magnoliopsida; Sapindales; Rutaceae
Description: Citrus clementina (C. clementina) long non-coding RNA (CCLE_LNC004003)
Source: RNAcentral
AUUUAAUAAAUUGUUUACUAAACUUUUUUUUCCCUUCCAAUUUUAUGUUAUACCGCACAAGUAAUAAAUUUAACGAAAACUUGGGAAAAUAUUUAAUAAAUUUGAGACAAUUGAAUGUAAUAUAUAAAUACUAUAAAAGUACGAUUUUCUAAUAUAAUAUUAUAAACAAAAACACGGACUAUGAUCAUUCUAUGAACGUGUACGGGUAACAGCAACGAUUCGAUUUCGAUGUGUUGCUAUUGGGAUCCAUGUAAAAAAGUUGUUACGUUCCCAAUGAAUCAUCGUCGUCACAUCAACAUCCUAAACUAUAUUCAAUCAACAUAUAUCUAUUGACGCGUAUAUGUUAUAUAUUAUCAAUAAAUUAGAAUUAAGCAACAAUUGAAUUAAUUAAUGGACCUCUGUUUAAUUGUUUGGGCAACGAUGGCGAAAAAGCAAAAGAGCAUCCAUGGCUCCACCCUAGAGUUUGAACGAAGACAAAACGAAACGAAAUUUCAAAGGUGGGGAGACAAUCAAGCAAACGUGGACCCAUUAUUAUUAUUAUUAUUAUUAGGAAAGAAAUAAGGCCCAUUUUAAUUCAUUUAUUUUUGUUGCUGGCCCUGCCUGAUCCCUGCACAUGCAGCCGUAGCAAAGAGCCCCCACAAGGCUUUUACGGUUGGGAAGUUGAUGCCGUAAUUAAAGAAUCAAAAGUGGGAAAUGCUUGGGCAUAGCCCACAGAUUUAGCUUUUGUAUAAUUGGAGUAAUAAUGUCACAUUUCAUGAAAGAAUUGUGAAUUUAGUUGCAUGAUAUAUAGUAGAGUAUUUUUACAAUAAUAUGUUUGUAAAGAAUUAGUUAAAAUAUAACAAAAAAACAUAUUUUAAUACGUUAAAGAUAAAAUACACUACAAUAGAGAAUGUGUUUUUUUCAGUCUAUUUUUUUAUUUUUCCCUUUAAUUGAUUCCUUUAUUAAAAUUACUCUAUAUUUAUAUAUUCACAUUGAUUUAGGUUGUUUAACUCUAAGGUUGCGUUUGUUUUUUUAUCUGAAAUUUGAAUAAAUCUGAAUUUAUCUGAAGUCUGAAUGAAAAUGUCUAAAUGCCAAGUUUAUUUUUUUUUCUUUUUCAACAUCUAAAAAAAAAAUUAAAAACUAGUAGUUUGACAUAAAUAUUAUUUUAAGUGGUGUAUAUAUUUGUUCUUCACAAAAUAUAAUUUUCACAAGUGAUUAGUUUGGUAGCAUUAAAAAAAAUACUAUCAUUGUUGAUCUUAAUUUUAAUUUUGUAAUAAAAAAUGUAAUUAUAACAUCAACUUUUAUUAUAAAGUCAAUACUGUUUUUUAUUUAUCACAAUGAACAUAAUUUGAUCUGUUCAAUAUUUCAGUUUAAUUAAUGUUAUCAUGUGAAUAAAAAUUUAAAGCAAUUAAAAAACACUUCAAGAAUGAUACAAAAAUAUUAUGUUUAUACAUAAUAUUGGAAAUAUAUGAAUUGUUAAGGUUAUUUUUUAGAUUUGAAAUUAAAAUUUCCCAUUUAAACUUCAAACUUAAGAUAAAAGCGGAUUUUUGCUAUUCAGAUAAAAUUGUCUGACAAUA